GUGCCAGCAGCCGCGGUAAGACGAACCGUGCUAACGUUGUUCGGAAUCACUGGGCUUAAAGGGCGCGUAGGCGGGCAAGCAAGUCAGGGGUGAAAUCCCACGGCUCAACCGUGGAAGUGCCUUUGAUACUGCUAGUCUUGAGGGAGGUAGGGGCGUGCGGAACUUCCGGUGGAGCGGUGAAAUGCGUAGAUAUCGGAAGGAACACCGGUGGCGAAAGCGGCGCGCUGGACCUCUUCUGACGCUGAGGCGCGAAAGCCAGGGGAGCAAACGGGAUUAGAUACCCCGGUAGUCCUGGCCCUAAACGAUGGGUACUAGGUAGUGGACUUACAUGGGUUCACUGCCGAAGCAAAAGUGUUAAGUACCCCGCCUGGGGAGUAUGGUCGCAAGGCUGAA
This 393-nucleotide ribosomal RNA is filed under the name uncultured bacterium. Its description in RNAcentral is "bacterial SSU rRNA". It matches the Rfam family "Bacterial small subunit ribosomal RNA", at positions 505 to 898 of the family's 1533-position model. The record is from RNAcentral.